AAAAAAAGUGGUGAGAUCUCUCUCCCAGAAAGAAUGACAAGGCCUGAAAGGAGGAACGGUAUGUGCCGGUCUCCGUCGUGUUAAGAGGGAGGCGGGGCGUGCAGCGGGGCUACCAUAGCGGGGCGCCGGACCCCGCACCUCUCGCGUUUUCUUUUUUUUUCUUUGUCACAGCGCUGGGGAGGGGAGCAAGCUCCAUGCGUCAGUUCCCGCCAAAUUGUAGCUCUUUCGAGCGAGGACGUGCUGAAACACACUGCACAGAGACGGGCAAGCACUCAGAGGCAUUUCGUUUGCCUUGAUCCUGGAGGCGGCCUUCUCCCAUUGCCGAGGAUUUGAAGCGAACUCCUGGCAGAUCAGAAAUGUUCAGGCGAACGGCGGUUAUAUUUGUCCGUGGACCCAAGACUUCGUUGACGGGCAAAUAUGUCAGAUUUUCUUGUUUUUUAUUUGUGGCAUCUUAUUGUAAGACCGUGACAUAUUUUGCCGUUUUCUCUAGGGAACCCUGCAACAAGGACUGUAGUGUGAAUAGCGUGCUGCGCUGCUCUCGCCAACUGAAAAGAACUCUGUGACAUAGCCAACAACGAAAACCUCGAUCCAUCCUCUCUCCACAUAUUAUCUAGUCUGUGCGCUGUGGAGCUUGAAGCACUUCUCGGAAUUUCAGCACACUCGCAUUUAUUUUUUUCCCGACAGAAGAAAAAUGCAAGUCUAACAUCUCGACGGUAAAACGUCGCAUCUGCGCACAGGGCCAAGAGCACGAGAAGUGGCCGAAAGAAGGGAGCCGAUCCAACAGGAAUGCCGUCCGUCUUUAUAUUUAUAUAUGUCAGCGUUAUCAUGCCGUGAUCACAUGGACUGUACGGUUGCGUUGCACAAGGGCUGAUGCAAACACUCCGUGCGAACAAUGUUGCAUGGAAAAUUAGUGCAUCUAUACAAUUGCAAAAUAAAGAUCUAAAGAG
Rhipicephalus sanguineus (brown dog tick) is the source of this 947-nucleotide long non-coding RNA. RefSeq lists it as uncharacterized. The transcript has 4 exons. NCBI's taxonomy places the organism in Eukaryota, Metazoa, Arthropoda, Arachnida, Ixodida, Ixodidae. The record is from RefSeq and is a predicted model, not a curated record.